RNAcentral lists this ribosomal RNA (491 nucleotides) under uncultured bacterium. Its description in RNAcentral is "partial 16S ribosomal RNA". It matches the Rfam family "Bacterial small subunit ribosomal RNA", at positions 29 to 506 of the family's 1533-position model. The record is from RNAcentral.
AGUGAACGCUGGCGGUAGGCCUAACACAUGCAAGUCGAACGGCAGCACAGUAAGAGCUUGCUCUUACGGGUGGCGAGUGGCGGACGGGUGAGGAAUACAUCGGAAUCUACUUUUUCGUGGGGGAUAACGUAGGGAAACUUACGCUAAUACCGCAUACGACCUACGGGUGAAAGCAGGGGAUCUUCGGACCUUGCGCGAUUGAAUGAGCCGAUGUCGGAUUAGCUAGUUGGCGGGGUAAAGGCCCACCAAGGCGACGAUCCGUAGCUGGUCUGAGAGGAUGAUCGGCCACACUGGAACUGGGACACGGGCCAGACUCCUACGGGAGGCAGCAGUGGGGAAUAUUGGACAAUGGGCGCAAGCCUGAUCCAGCCAUACCGCGUGGGUGAAGAAGGCCUUCGGGUUGUAAAGCCCUUUUGUUGGGAAAAAAAAGCAGCAGGUUAAUACCCCGCUGUUCUGACGGUACCCAAAGAAUAAGCACCGGCUAACUUCGU